UAACUGCGAAGUGAAGCGGGAAAAGCUCAAAUUUAAAAUCUGGCGUCCUCCAGGCGUCCGAGUUGUAAUCUGGAGAAGCGUUUUCCGCGUCGGACCGUGUACAAGUCUUCUGGAACGGAGCGUCAUAGAGGGUGAGAAUCCCGUCUCUGACACGGACUACCGAUGCUUUUGUGAUGCGCUCUCGAAGAGUCGAGUUGUUUGGGAAUGCAGCUCAAAAUGGGUGGUAAAUUCCAUCUAAAGCUAAAUAUUGGCCAGAGACCGAUAGCGAACAAGUACCGUGAGGGAAAGAUGAAAAGCACUUUGGAAAGAGAGUUAAACAGUACGUGAAAUUGUUGAAAGGGAAACGCUUGAAGUCAGUCGCGUUGGCCGAGACUCAGCCUGGCUUGCCUGGUGUACUUCUCGGUUGACGGGUCAGCAUCAGUUUUGACCGUCGGAUAAAGGUUGGAGGAAUGUGGCAUCCCUCGGGAUGUGUUAUAGCCUCUGAUUCGCAUACGGCGAUUGGGACUGAGGAACUCAGCACGCCUUUAUGGUCGGGGUUCGCCCACGUAACGUGCUUAGGAUGCUGGCAUAAUGGCUUUAAGCGACCCGUCUUGAAACACGGACCAAGGAGUCUAACAUGCCCGCGAGUGUUUGGGUGUUAAACCCGUAGCGCGUAAUGAAAGUGAAAGUUGAGAUCCCUGUCGUG
Molecule: ribosomal RNA, 685 nt
Filed under: Athelia abscondita
Lineage: Eukaryota; Fungi; Basidiomycota; Agaricomycetes; Atheliales; Atheliaceae
Description: partial large subunit ribosomal RNA
Rfam family: Eukaryotic large subunit ribosomal RNA
Source: RNAcentral